Molecule: ribosomal RNA, 296 nt
Filed under: bacterium enrichment culture clone ALO1_GLFRUDD03G5S37
Lineage: Bacteria
Description: partial 16S ribosomal RNA
Rfam family: Bacterial small subunit ribosomal RNA
Source: RNAcentral
GAGUUUGAUCUUGGCUCAGAUUGAACGCUGGCGGCAUGCCUUACACAUGCAAGUCGAACGGCAGCACGGGAGCUUGCUCCUGGUGGCGAGUGGCGAACGGGUGAGUAAUGCAUCGGAACGUAUCCUGGAGUGGGGGAUAACGUAGCGAAAGUUACGCUAAUACCGCAUAUUCUGUGAGCAGGAAAGCGGGGGACCUUCGGGCCUCGCGCUCUUGGAGCGGCCGAUGUCGGAUUAGCUAGUUGGUGAGGUAAAGGCUCACCAAGGCGACGAUCCGUAGCAGGUCUGAGAGGAUGAUC